CGUAGGGUGCGAGCGUUAAUCGGAAUUACUGGGCGUAAAGCGUGCGCAGGCGGUUUUGUAAGACAGGCGUGAAAUCCCCGGGCUCAACCUGGGAACUGCGCUUGUGACUGCAAGGCUAGAGUACGGCAGAGGGGGGUGGAAUUCCACGUGUAGCAGUGAAAUGCGUAGAGAUGUGGAGGAACACCAAUGGCGAAGGCAGCCCCCUGGGUCGAUACUGACGCUCAUGCACGAAAGCGUGGGUAGCAAACAGGAUUAGAUACCCUGGUAGUCCACGCCCUAAACGAUGUCAACUAGGUGUUGGGUGGGUAAAACCAUUUAGUACCGGAGCUAACGCGUGAAGUUGACCGCCUGGGGAGUACGGCCGCAAGGUUAA
Molecule: ribosomal RNA, 373 nt
Filed under: uncultured organism
Description: bacterial SSU rRNA
Rfam family: Bacterial small subunit ribosomal RNA
Source: RNAcentral